GUGCAUUCAGACAGGCCCAGAGCAGGAGCAAAGGCCCCAUUGUGAGGCUGCUGGUGGCGGAUGGGGUGGGGGUGGGGUCCAGGUGGACCUAAAAACUAGGCUAAGACGCAUUUGGUUUUUAGUCUUCAAGAGUCAAGGGCCAGGAAGUUCCUGUUGUGGCUCAGAGGUAACAAACCUGACUAGUAUACAUGAGGAUGUGGGUUCGAUCCUUGGCCUCUCUCAGGGGGUUAAGGAUCUGGCAUUGCUCUGGCUGUGGUGUAGGCUGGCCAUUGCAGCUCCAGUUUGACACAUAGCCUGGGAACUUCCAUAGGCCUUGGAUGCAACCCUAAAAAAACCAAAAAAAAAAAAAAAAAAAAAAAAAAAAAAGAGUCAAGGGCCAGCUGAGGCUUUCUAUCUAGGGCGUGGCAUGACCAGAGCCGAGGUUUUGAGAGUCAUCCUGCCCAUCAAUGCCCGUGUCCGGGUGAAUUAGGAGGUAGCUGGGGGGUGGCUGUGGGAAGGAAGACCGGUUCAGAAGCUGUGGAACCCGUCCAGGUACGCGUGAAGGGCUGGUGUGGGUGUGGGUAGGGGAAAAGGAAGGGGCAGUCCUGGGCGCCCUGUUACAAAAGAAGAAUUGGCAGGAAAUGAGGCACCAGGGAGGGGAAGCAAUCAAGAUCACAAUCUGAUUGUUCUCCCUUCCUCACCCAGGUCUUCCGAGAGCUGAAAGGGGGAAAGUGAUGGAUUCAGAGGAAGAGGCGUAUGCAUUUCCAUGCUCACCAUCACCAAAGUGCACAGAGAAGCUUGUGGUCCCUUCUCAAACCAUGAAUUUACUUUGAGCCCAGAGCUCUAUUACUUGGCAGGAACUUGGACUUGGCAGAAAUACUGGCAAUUCCACAGCCACUUUCAGUCCCCUGGCAUUCCAGUGUAAAAUCAAUGUGGAGACUGGCAUUCAAGAAAUGUUUGGAGUUCCCUGGUAGCUCAGCAGUUUAGGGAUCUGGUGUUGUCACUGCUGUGGCUCAGGUCACUGCUACGGCAUGGAUUCAGUCCCUGGCCAGGUCCCAAUAAAAAAGAGAAAUGCUCAACA
Molecule: long non-coding RNA, 1060 nt
Filed under: Sus scrofa (pig)
Lineage: Eukaryota; Metazoa; Chordata; Mammalia; Artiodactyla; Suidae
Description: lncRNA (ENSSSCG00050047637.1)
Source: RNAcentral